This 478-nucleotide ribosomal RNA is filed under the name uncultured bacterium. RNAcentral describes it as "bacterial SSU rRNA". It matches the Rfam family "Bacterial small subunit ribosomal RNA", at positions 20 to 518 of the family's 1533-position model. The record is from RNAcentral.
UGGCUCAGGAUAACGCUGGCGGCAUGCCUAAUACAUGCAAGUCGAAUGGUUAGCUUGCUAGACCAUGGCGAACGGGUGAGUAACACGUAGGUAACCUACCUUAAGGACGAGGAUAACCUUUGGAAACGAAGGAUAAUACUGGAUAGGACAUUACAAAGCACAUGCUUAAAUGUUUAAAGGAGCAAUCCACCAUAAGAGGGGCCUGCGGCGCAUUAGCUAGUUGGUGAGGUAAAGGCCCACCAAGGCGAUGAUGCGUAGCUGGACUGAGAGGUUGAACAGCCACAAUGGGACUGAGAACGGCCCAUACUCCUACGGGAGGCAGCAGUAGGGAAUUUUCGGCAAUGGGCAAAAGCCUGACCGAGCAAUGCCGCGUGAUCGAAGAAGUAUUUCGGUAUGUAAAGAUCUUUUAUCGGGGAAGAAAAGACAGAUUGACUGAACCUGAUGAAUAAGCUCCGGCUAACUACGUGCCAGCCGCCGC